Molecule: transfer RNA, 66 nt
Filed under: Marmota monax (woodchuck)
Lineage: Eukaryota; Metazoa; Chordata; Mammalia; Rodentia; Sciuridae
Description: tRNA.Ala
Source: RNAcentral
GGUUGUGACUCAGUGGUAGAGCGCUCGCCUAGCAUGGUGAGGCGCUGGGUUCGAUCCUCAGCACCA